Molecule: ribosomal RNA, 497 nt
Filed under: uncultured Pseudomonas sp.
Lineage: Bacteria; Pseudomonadati; Pseudomonadota; Gammaproteobacteria; Pseudomonadales; Pseudomonadaceae
Description: bacterial SSU rRNA
Rfam family: Bacterial small subunit ribosomal RNA
Source: RNAcentral
GCCAGCCCGCUCAGAACUUAAAGGAAUUGACGGGGCCCGCACAAGCGGUGGAGCAUGUGGUUAAUUCGAAGCAACGCGAAGAACCUUACCAGGCCUUGACAUGCAGAGAACUUUCCAGAGAUGGAUUGGUGCCUUCGGGAACUCUGACACAGGUGCUGCAUGGCUAUCGUCAGCUCGUGUCGUGAGAUGUUGGGUUAAGUCCCGUAACGAGCGCAACCCUUGUCCUUAGUUACCAGCACGUUAUGGUGGGCACUCUAAGGAGACUGCCGGUGACAAACCGGAGGAAGGUGGGGAUGACGUCAAGUCAUCAUGGCCCUUACGGCCUGGGCUACACACGUGCUACAAUGGUCGGUACAAAGGGUUGCCAAGCCGCGAGGUGGAGCUAAUCCCAUAAAACCGAUCGUAGUCCGGAUCGCAGUCUGCAACUCGACUGCGUGAAGUCGGAAUCGCUAGUAAUCGUGAAUCAGAAUGUCACGGUGAAUACGUUCCCGGGCCUU